AGCAGCCGCGGUAAUUCCAGCUCCAAUAGCGUAUAUUAAAGUUGUUGUAGUUAAAAAGCUCGUAGUUGAAUUUCGGAAUCUGUCCGUUGGUCGGGCUUCAUUGUCCGUACUGAUGUGAUGGGUUCUUACCUUCUGAAUAACCAGCAUGUCAUUAAUUUGGUGUGUUGGGGAAGCAGGACUAUUACCUUGAAAAAAUUAGAGUGCUCAAAGCAGGCUAGUGCCUGAAUACAUUAGCAUGGAAUAAUAAAAUAGGACGGCAUGGUUCUAUUUUGUUGGUUUCUAGGAUCACCGUAAUGAUUAAUAGGGAUAGUUGGGGGCAUUAGUAUUCAAUUGUCAGAGGUGAAAUUCUUGGAUUUAUUGAAGACUAACUUCUGCGAAAGCAUUUGCCAAGGAUGUUUUCAUUAAUCAAGAACGAAAGUUAGGGGAUCGAAGACGAUCAGGUACCGUCGUAGUCUUAACCAUAAACUAUGCCGACUAGGGAUCGGACGAUGUUAAUUUUAUAAUGACUCGUUCGGCG
RNAcentral lists this ribosomal RNA (517 nucleotides) under uncultured Acaulospora. RNAcentral describes it as "SSU rRNA". It matches the Rfam family "Eukaryotic small subunit ribosomal RNA", at positions 569 to 1085 of the family's 1831-position model. Lineage: Eukaryota; Fungi; Glomeromycota; Glomeromycetes; Diversisporales; Acaulosporaceae. The record is from RNAcentral.